This 346-nucleotide unclassified non-coding RNA is filed under the name soil metagenome. Its description in RNAcentral is "partial contains 5.8S ribosomal RNA, internal transcribed spacer 2, and large subunit ribosomal RNA". The stretch from base 1 to 119 matches the Rfam family "5.8S ribosomal RNA", at positions 35 to 154 of the family's 154-position model. The record is from RNAcentral.
GAUGAAGAACGUAGCGAAAUGCGAUACGUAAUGUGAAUUGCAAAUUCAGUGAAUCAUCGAGUCUUUGAACGCACAUUGCGCCCCCUGGUAUUCCGGGGGGCAUGCCUGUCCGAGCGUCAUUGCUGCCCUCAAGCACGGCUUGUGUGUUGGGCCCCGUCCUCCGAUCCCGGGGGACGGGCCCGAAUGGCAGCGGCGGCACCGCGUCCGGUCCUCGAGCGUAUGGGGCUUUGUCACCCGCUCUGUAGGCCCGGCCGGCGCUUGCCGAUCAACCCAAAUUUUUUAUCCAGGUUGACCUCGGAUCAGGUAGGGAUACCCGCUGAACUUAAGCAUAUCAAUAAGCGGAGGA